GACGAACGCUGGCGGCGUGCCUAACACAUGCAAGUCAACUUGACUGAAGGAGCAAUCUGACAGUAGAGUGGCGCAAGGGUGCGUAACGCGUAAGUAACUUGCCCAAGGUAAGGAAUAACGUCGAGAAAUCGGCGCUAAUACCUCAUAAUGCAGCGGAUCCGCAUGGAUAUGUUGUUAAAGGUUUACCGCCUUGGGAUAGGCUUGCGUCUGAUUAGCUAGUUGGUGUGGUAACGGCACACCAAGGCUACGAUCAGUAACUGGUCUGAGAGGAUGAUCAGUCACACUGGAACUGAGACACGGUCCAGACUCCUACGGGAGGCAGCAGUGAGGAAUAUUGGGCAAUGCUCGAAAGAGUGACCCAGCAACGCCGCGUGGAGGAUGAAGGUAUUCUAUAUCGUAAACUCCUGUGAGAGCAGACGAAAGACAGAUUAUAAUCUGGAUGACUGUAUGCUCAGAGGAAGCCCCGGCUAACUACGUG
This 478-nucleotide ribosomal RNA is filed under the name uncultured bacterium. RNAcentral describes it as "bacterial SSU rRNA". It matches the Rfam family "Bacterial small subunit ribosomal RNA", at positions 28 to 507 of the family's 1533-position model. The record is from RNAcentral.